Molecule: ribosomal RNA, 106 nt
Filed under: Orsonwelles macbeth
Lineage: Eukaryota; Metazoa; Arthropoda; Arachnida; Araneae; Linyphiidae
Description: partial 28S ribosomal RNA
Source: RNAcentral
CCGACCCUCAGACAGGCGAGGCCCCGGGCAGGACCCGAGGCCGCAAUGUGCGUUCGAACAAUCAGUGCUCAAUGUGUCCUGCAAUUCACACCAAAUCUCGCAGCUG